Non-coding RNA from Acanthosepion pharaonis, 100 nucleotides. The record is from the annotation of a GenBank genome assembly. NCBI's taxonomy places the organism in Eukaryota, Metazoa, Mollusca, Cephalopoda, Sepiida, Sepiidae.
ACAUCAUAACACUAGUUCCCAUACAGUCACAGAAAUUAAGCAUCAGUGAGCCUGGUUAGUACCUAGAUGGGUGACCAUUGGGAAUACCUGGUGCUGUAAG